UGUGUACUUAAGGGUAC
Molecule: transfer RNA, 17 nt
Filed under: Hylarana sp. SAMA 5112
Lineage: Eukaryota; Metazoa; Chordata; Amphibia; Anura; Ranidae
Description: partial tRNA-Phe
Source: RNAcentral